Molecule: ribosomal RNA, 465 nt
Filed under: uncultured bacterium
Lineage: Bacteria
Description: partial 16S ribosomal RNA
Rfam family: Bacterial small subunit ribosomal RNA
Source: RNAcentral
CCUACGGGGUGCAGCAGUAGGGAAUCUUCCACAAUGGGCGAAAGCCUGAUGGAGCAACGCAGCGUGGGUGAAGAAGGUCUUCGGAUCGUAAAACCCUGUUGUUAGAGAAGAAAGUGCGUGAGAGUAACUGUUCACGUUUCGACGUUAUCUAACCAGAAAGCCACGGCUAACUCCGUGCCAGCAGCCGCGGUAAUACGUAGGUGGCAAGCGUUAUCCGGAUUUAUUGGGAGUAAAGGGAACGUAGGCGGUCUUUUAAGUCUGAUGUGAAAGUUUUCGGCUUAACCGGAGUAGUGCAUUGGAUACUGGGAGACUUGAGUGCAGAAGAGGAGAGUGGAAUUCCAUGUGUAGCGGUGAAAUGCUUAGAUAUAUGGAAGAACACCAGUGGCGAAAGCGGCUCUCUGGUCUGUAACUGACGCUGAGGUUCGAAAGCGUGGGUAGCAAACAGGAUUAGAUACCCGAGUAGUC